This 775-nucleotide ribosomal RNA is filed under the name uncultured Neocallimastigales. Its description in RNAcentral is "partial large subunit ribosomal RNA". It matches the Rfam family "Eukaryotic large subunit ribosomal RNA", at positions 23 to 645 of the family's 3401-position model. The record is from RNAcentral. Lineage: Eukaryota; Fungi; Neocallimastigomycota; Neocallimastigomycetes; Neocallimastigales.
AGAGAUGUGGAUGACGCAUAUCAAUAAGCGGAGGAAAAGAAACUAACAAGGAUUCCCUUAGUAACGGCGAGUGAAGCGGGAAGAGCUCAAAUUUGAAAUCUUCAAGGUUCUACCUUGACGAAUUGUAGUUUAUAGAAGUGUUUUCUGUUAGUAGAGUGGCAAAAGUUCCUUGGAAUAGGACAUCAUAGAGGGUGAGAAUCCCGUAUUUGGUCAUUCUUUCUAGCUUUGUGAUACACUUUCAACGAGUCGGAUUGUUUGGGAAUGCAGUCCAAAAUGGGUGGUAAAUUUCAUCUAAAGCUAAAUAUUGGCGAGAGACCGAUAGCGAACAAGUACCGUGAGGGAAAGAUGAAAAGAACUUUGAAAAGAGAGUUAAACAGUACGUGAAAUUGUCAAAAGGGAAGCGUUUGACACCAGUGUUGUUUUUCCGAAAAUCAAUUACGAAUGUUUUAUUUUUGAGAAGUUAUGACUUCAUCGGCUUGCUUCUCUCUUUAUGAAACUUUCUUAAUGCACUUUUCGGUUAACAAGUCAACAUCAAUUUCUUUUGUUGUAAAAGGGUAAUGAGGAAGGUGGCUUUACUUUCGGAGUAAAGUGUUUAUAGCCUUGUACCUCUGCAAUCGGAGAGAUUGAGGUCUGCAGCGUAGAUCCUUCGGGGUUAGAUACAUUUGUGCUAAGUUAUAGCUUUUCAUAGACAACUUGUUGACUAUGUUAAGUCUUGUACUUACUCGCAUGAUGCUAUUUUACCUACGCUUAGGAUGUUGAAGUCAUCGUAUCGCGC